GAUCCUGGCUCAGGAUGAACGCUGGCGGCGUGCCUAAUACAUGCAAGUCGAACGCACCGAAAUUGGAGUUUACUCUAAUGGAAGUGAGUGGCGAACGGGUGAGUAAUACAUAAGCAACCUGCCCCUAUGCCUGGGAUAACUGUUGGAAACGACAGCUAAUACCGGAUAGGUUCAUUGAUGACAUCGUUAAUGAAUUAAAGUUGGGCAACAACACAAAGGGAUGGGCUUAUGGCGCAUUAG
RNAcentral lists this ribosomal RNA (240 nucleotides) under uncultured bacterium. Its description in RNAcentral is "partial 16S ribosomal RNA". It matches the Rfam family "Bacterial small subunit ribosomal RNA", at positions 15 to 244 of the family's 1533-position model. The record is from RNAcentral.